CCUACGGGAGGCAGCAGUGAGGAAUAUUGGUCAAUGGGCGGGAGCCUGAACCAGCCAAGCCGCGUGAGGGAAGAAGGUUCAGCGUAUCGUAAACCUCUUUUGUCAGGGAACAAAUGCGGGGACUAGUCGCCGGAUGAGGGUACCAGAAGAAAAAGCAUCGGCUAACUCGGUGCCAGCAGCCGCGGUAAUACGGAGGAUGCGAGCGUUAUCCGGAUUUAUUGGGUUUAAAGGGUGAGUAGGGGGGCAAUUAAGCUGGCGUUCAAAUGUCGGGGUUCAACCCCGGCCUGCAGUCGGAACUGGGUGCCUUGAGUGGGCGAGAGGUAUGCGGAAUGCGUGGUGUAGCGGUGAAAUGCAUAGAUAUGACGAAGAACCCCGAUUGCGAAGGCAGCUUGCUGCAGCGGAACUGACGCUGAUGCUCGAAAGCGCGGGUAUCGAACAGGAUUAGAUACCCGAGUAGUC
RNAcentral lists this ribosomal RNA (459 nucleotides) under uncultured bacterium. Its description in RNAcentral is "partial 16S ribosomal RNA". It matches the Rfam family "Bacterial small subunit ribosomal RNA", at positions 338 to 795 of the family's 1533-position model. The record is from RNAcentral.